This is a long non-coding RNA of Juglans regia (Persian walnut), 686 nucleotides long. RefSeq lists it as uncharacterized. The transcript is spliced from 4 exons. NCBI's taxonomy places the organism in Eukaryota, Viridiplantae, Streptophyta, Magnoliopsida, Fagales, Juglandaceae. The record is from RefSeq and is a predicted model, not a curated record.
CCUCUUUCUUCCCUUACCCGAUGGCCUCCCAGAGAAGGAACAAAUUCUUUUCUCUCUUUGUCACCCAUCGGCUUCUAGAACAAGGAAAGGAAGAAAAUACUUCCAGCCCUCACCGUGCAACAAACCUUUCUCUCCCAUUCCAUUUCUCUUUCAAUCUCAAGCCAAGCUUCCAAGUUUCUUCCUUUUCAAGAGGGAAAUAGUAAGCCAAAGGUUUCGUAUAUCCUCUGUUUUCCUAAGCUGAAUCUAUCUCCAUUCUCCUCAUUUUCAUGUUUCGGAAGGUUUUCACCAAAGGAGUUUAUUUUCAAGAUUCAAGGAACUUACUUGUAAAGCCAUGAGGUAUGAAUGAUGAGGCUGUGGAGCUAGGCACUGCUGAGGAGGGAAGGGCUGAUGCUUAGUAUUCCCUGUCGGUUCGGUUUAACGAUGAUGGUUAUAUUUUAUGUUUUAUGAUGGGUCCCAUGUUGGGACGUUUUGUUGGUCGACUUUAAGACAAUAUGUCUUUGGCAUGAUGUAGAUAUUGUGGUAGUAUGAUGGUAAUAGUGUAACUUCUAUAGUGGGGUGAUGGUAACCCCACAUAAGAAGGUUAAACGUAUUUUGGAUUAUGUUGUAGGGACGGAGUCCCCUUUUUAUUGGAACUAGUGAUGUUUUAAAUGAAUGAAUGGUGGACUCUAAGAGUCCUUUGGGAAAUA